Molecule: ribosomal RNA, 283 nt
Filed under: uncultured Campylobacterota bacterium
Lineage: Bacteria; Pseudomonadati; Campylobacterota
Description: uncultured Epsilonproteobacteria bacterium partial 16S ribosomal RNA
Rfam family: Bacterial small subunit ribosomal RNA
Source: RNAcentral
GGAGGAAACUCUGAUGCAGCAACGCCGCGUGGAGGAUGACGCAUUUCGGUGUGUAAACUCCUUUUAUAUGGAAGAUAAUGACGGUACCAUAUGAAUAAGCACCGGCUAACUCCGUGCCAGCAGCCGCGGUAAUACGGAGGGUGCAAGCGUUACUCGGAAUCACUGGGCGUAAAGCGCGCGCAGGCGGCCAUUUAAGUUGGAUGUGAAAGCCUACAGCUCAACUGUAGAACUGCAUCCAAAACUAUUUGGCUAGAGUGUGGGAGAGGAAGAUGGAAUUAGUUGU